RNAcentral lists this ribosomal RNA (497 nucleotides) under uncultured bacterium. Its description in RNAcentral is "partial 16S ribosomal RNA". It matches the Rfam family "Bacterial small subunit ribosomal RNA", at positions 28 to 507 of the family's 1533-position model. The record is from RNAcentral.
GAUGAACGCUGGCGGCGUGCCUAGUACAUGCAAGUCGAGCGAACGGACGAGAAGCUUGCUUCUCUGAUGUUAGCGGCGGACGGGUGAGUAACACGUGGAUAACCUACCUAUAAGACUGCGAUAACUUCGGGAAACCGGAGCUAAUACCGGAUAAUAUUUUGAACCGCAUGGUUCAAAAGUGAAAGACGGUCUUGCUGUCACUUAUAGAUGGAUCCGCGCUGCAUUAGCUAGUUGGUAAGGUAACGGCUUACCAAGGCAACGAUGCAUAGCCGACCUGAGAGGGUGAUCGGCCACACUGGAACUGAGACACGGUCCAGACUCCUACGGGAGGCAGCAGUAGGGAAUCUUCCGCAAUGGGCGAAAGCCUGACGGAGCAACGCCGCGUGAGUGAUGAAGGUCUUCGGAUCGUAAAACUCUGUUAUUAGGGAAGAACAUAUGUGUAAGUAACUGUGCACAUCUUGACGGUACCUAAUCAGAAAGCCACGGCUAACUACGUG